GACGAACGCUGGCGGCGUGCUUAACACAUGCAAGUCGAACGGAAAGGCUCCAGCUUGCUGGAGUACUCGAGUGGCGAACGGGUGAGUAACACGUGGGUAAUCUGCCCUGCACUCUGGGAUAAGCCUGGGAAACUGGGUCUAAUACUGGAUAUGACCUUUCUCCUUAUGGGGUUUUGUGGAAAGUUUUUCGGUGUAGGAUGAGCCCGCGGCCUAUCAGCUUGUUGGUGGGGUGAUGGCCUACCAAGGCGCCGACGGGUAGCCGGCCUGAGAGGGUUAUCGGCCACAUUGGGACUGAGAUACGGCCCAGACUCCUACGGGAGGCAGCAGUGGGGAAUAUUGCACAAUGGGCGGAAGCCUGAUGCAGCGACGCCGCGUGAGGGAUGACGGCCUUCGGGUUGUAAACCUCUUUCAGCAGGGACGAAGCGUAAGUGACGGUACCUGCAGAAGAAGCACCGGCUAACUACGUG
This 467-nucleotide ribosomal RNA is filed under the name uncultured bacterium. RNAcentral's name for it is "partial 16S ribosomal RNA". It matches the Rfam family "Bacterial small subunit ribosomal RNA", at positions 28 to 507 of the family's 1533-position model. The record is from RNAcentral.